Molecule: unclassified non-coding RNA, 646 nt
Filed under: Hevea brasiliensis (rubber tree)
Lineage: Eukaryota; Viridiplantae; Streptophyta; Magnoliopsida; Malpighiales; Euphorbiaceae
Source: RNAcentral
GUUUGGUUCCAAGGAAAAGUAAUUCUAACUGCUAGCAUACUUGAGAAAGGGUAAAAAUUCAACAUGUCAAAUCAUCCAUUCAUAAAUGCACAUGCAGACACUAAUUCGCAUCAAGGGACAUACGUGCUAAUGCUGUAAUCGUCAAUUGGUAGUAGUUGUGGCUUGUGAAAUAGGAGUGAAUAAUUGCAGCAAACUAGGACACAACAACAACCACUAGAACAAUGUACUAGUGAAAGCAACAGAAUUGCUACUAUGAUGACUUGAGGGAGAGAGGCUUGCCUUGGCUGAAUUUUGAAGCUUUUGGGUCUUUCUUUGUCCCUUCAAAAAUCAGCCAUCUGUGCCUACUUGGAGUUAACUGAACUGCAGCGUCUUCGAGCAUAAGCAAAAACAGAGAAGGAAUAAGUGUCUGCAUUAAGUAGAAACUUAAAGGAUCAUAAAGUUGUGUCACAAAUAAUAUAAGCUAGACAUUUCACAGAUCUGCAUACAUACCAAUAAGCAGGCAUGAUGUUGAUACUUCUGUUGAAAAACAUCAUCUAGGGUGUGAUAUUUCAAUGAAAAUUUGCCGGGAUGGGGACCCAUCAAAACAUGUUGGAGUAGGAAAACAUAAGUUCUAGUUGGAAUCUGAAUGGAAUCAACAAAGGACUAU